Long non-coding RNA from Amphibalanus amphitrite, 1094 nucleotides. RefSeq lists it as uncharacterized. The record is from RefSeq and is a predicted model, not a curated record. Lineage: Eukaryota; Metazoa; Arthropoda; Thecostraca; Balanomorpha; Balanidae. The transcript has 3 exons.
GAGUUUUCUGACUCACUUUAACGAUGUGUUCAAACAACUAACUUGCUAAUGAAUCCGUAUUUAUCGAGUAAUUUAAACCUUAUUGCGAAGCAAAACACGGUUAGUCCAAAUCAGGAUGAACUAGCUCGGAAUCCCCAUGUACAAUGACACUGUUCGAGUAAUCGCCAUGUAUUCAUACCCGCAAUUGGCGGACACUGUGUUCCGAAACACGAAUACGAUUUUGUGGAAGCAUUUUUGCGCACGGUUCUACCGUGUUGAAUGACACGUUGCCGUGUUUUACCCCUCUGCGUCGAGUUUAAAAACCCGAAUGGGGUUAUUUGGGCCGCGAUCUUGAGGGACAUUAACACCAAUUAACACUGUGGGUUGUUAACUUACUCGGUUCAGUUUCGCGCCAAAUGCAGCGCCGCGUGGGCCUCAGUCGCCAUCUUUGUGCGAUCCAGAGAGGUCGUGUCUGUGCUGCGUGUGACGUCUUGUUGAAUACGGCUCAAGAUGAGCAGAAUGAAGGUAAAUCUCCAAGUCCCACAGUCAGAGCUCAAGACUGUGAGGCAGGACUUCAUUCCUUGAUGAAUGCGGCUCAACUGCUAACAGGAUAAGAAGACACGAACCAGGAGAAGUUGGACGCUUUUUAGAAUUUCCUCUCGUACCGCUAUAGUGUCAUGGGUGGAGGGGAGCGAGGCUGCCAUCUCCGAAGACAACACGCCUCUGAGUGUGCGCCUCCUAGUUUGUGCGGCAAUGUUUUCGGUGUUCAAUGAGAAAAUUCAAUGCCCCAGCGCUCAGAACUCCCAGCUAGUAUUGACGCAAUAGCUCUCCCAAAUGUCGACCGGAAAGUCGUUAAAAAAAUCGUUGCGACGAUCGGCUCGACAAGCUGAAGACCGCGCCAGUGAAUGCAUGUGAAACGGCACCUCUACUCUCCCAUCGCCAGGCCCAAAGACGUGUUGUUCAUAGGUGUCUUUCACAAUACUAGUGUUGCUGAUCGCGGAGGACCACUGUCCACUGCUCGUCCGCCGUGGUGUUACUUCUGAUGAGGCUCAGAGCGCAUGUGUAUUGUUUAUACUGUGAACAAUCUGUUGAAAUAUAUAAUGAGUAGAUCUGUA